Molecule: ribosomal RNA, 253 nt
Filed under: uncultured bacterium
Lineage: Bacteria
Description: partial 16S ribosomal RNA
Rfam family: Bacterial small subunit ribosomal RNA
Source: RNAcentral
UACGGAGGGUGCAAGCGUUAUCCGGAUUCACUGGGUUUAAAGGGUGCGUAGGCGGACAGGUAAGUCAGUGGUGAAAUCUCCGGGCUUAACCCGGAAACUGCCGUUGAUACUAUUAGUCUUGAAUACUGUGGAGGUAAGCGGAAUAUGUCAUGUAGCGGUGAAAUGCUUAGAUAUGACAUGGAACACCAAUUGCGAAGGCAGCUUACUACACAGCGAUUGACGCUGAGGCACGAAAGCGUGGGGAUCAAACAGG